Molecule: long non-coding RNA, 1030 nt
Organism: Globicephala melas (long-finned pilot whale)
Lineage: Eukaryota; Metazoa; Chordata; Mammalia; Artiodactyla; Delphinidae
Source: RefSeq, a predicted model, not a curated record
AGGUGGGACCUGCGUGGAGGAGGGAGGCGCACGGUGGACUUCCGCCCCGCGCCGCACACGCACCUGGAGCCGUGACGUCCCCGGCAUGGGGACUUGGAGUGGCAGGCCCCGCCCCGUCGUCCUCCCCUCCCCGCCCCGCUCCUGCCGGAGUGUGGCCCGGCUCUGCAGCCGAGGCCCGCGGCGGCCAGUGAGCCGGCCCGGCCGCCCGAGGCCGCCGGAAGGUCCAGUGCUUUGUAACUGUGCGCGAGGCCCAGGUGGCGCGGAGGAGAAAGACGAGUGACGCCCGGACCCGCGUCCUCAACCGCGGCCGGGUGCGUGUGGCCCGCUCUCCGGGAGCGAAGGUUCUGGAGCAGGAUUUCGGGUGGUUAUCUCCGCGAAGGCUUCUCACCUCUUCCCCUGGUCCCUUCAGUGCUUCCCACAGGUGGACCUCUCUUAACUUCUACUGAAACAAUGUCUGAAUGAUUCAUACCUUUGGAGAGAGUCACACCCAUUUCACGCAGACUCAGCUACAAUAAAGAUUGUGCUCACAUCCUGCCUCAGAGUCUAUUUCUGCGUGAAUCCAACUGAACAUGUGAUCAAAACCACCUGAGAAGCCUGGGACUUCUCUGGUGGUGCAGUGGUUAAGAAUCCUCCUGCCAAUGCACGGGACACAGGUUCAAGCCCUGGUCCAGGAAGAUCCCACAUGCUGAGGAGCAACUAAGCCCACGCACCACAACUACUGAGCCUGCGAGCCACAACUACUGAGCCCAUGUGCCUAGAGCCCAUGCUCUGCAGCAAGAGAAGCCACAGCAAUGAGAAGGCCGCGCACUGCAAGGAAGAGUAGCCCCACUCACCACAACCAGAGAAAGCCUGUGCAUAGCAACGAAGACCCAAUGCAGCCAAGAGAAAAAAAAUAUAUUGUUUUAUAUUUACAAUUAGUAAUAGAAUAUAAGCACUGAAAAUAAAAACUGAAUAUAAAACAAAUUCUGGUAGUGUGAUUAUCUGCCAUAUGUAUUUUACUGCAAUAGAGGUAGCAGACCAAAAGACUUUC